UUCCUUUCAUCUCUUUGCAGUUUGCACCUCUUCCCCCUUUCUCUUAGUUGUCAAAUUCUUGUUUCCUCAUACCUUAGUUUUUUUUUUCUCAUUCAAAACCGAAGAUAAUUUCAUUUCUCAUAACACUAGCAGUAUGAAAAACUAGGCAUUUUCAGUACAACUUCUAUUUUUUUGGGUGUAAUUUUGGUGAAUCUCACCUCCUCUCUUUUAUCAGUUUCCCCCAAUAGCAAAACACCUCUCCUCUCAAUUCAGCUCUCAAGUACGAAACUCAUCAAAAGAAUUUCAACCUGGGAAACCCCUCAAUCCUCCAAGCUAUGAAGUUGGUUUUAGCUGAAAAGUGGAAUUACUUGAUGGAUUUCUGAGGAGAUCUUUGAAGCAGACUUGCUGUAGGGUUCGGCGUAUCGAUGUUAGGAUGUUAUAUACUAGCAUUGAGAUGCAGCUGAGAACAAAGGUUGUGUAUGCUCUUGUUGUGGAUAGACGGAGGAUCCUCUGAACUCGGUUUUCUCUGUGUUGGGAAUGAUUUUGUGUUUUAGGUCUUUGUUGGGCAUUGUAUUGGGUAUUAGCAAAAUGUCAUUCUUUAGAACAAUCAUUUUAUUAGAACUUCAAACAAUCUUUAAUACGGAGUAUGGAAACUGUUCAUCCUCUGGGAGUUGGGAGGUGGUUUCAAUGAGCCUUAUGAUCACAAGAACUUGUAAAUAUGGAAAACCACUCACGGGUCCAUCCUUUGAUAUUAUUAAAUUGGUACUUUGGUAGCGAGAUAAAUAGCAUAUGUAUCAAGGGAGUAUCUCAUUAUUGGACAUGCAUAUUGAAGGCGACAAAGCAUUUUUCAAACAAUAUGUAGGACAACCCCGUUCGUCCUUUAUGGAAUGAGUGUUUAGUAAACUUAAUCUAUCAUUUUCAAGGUAGGUGUAAAAUAUGGGUUGAGAUCAUAUCUGUCUUUUUCAUUUCUCGUCCUCUACUGAUUUUGACACAUCUUAGUUUUUAAAGUAUUGAAAACUUCAAAGUGUUCAAACUAUUGGUGAAUGCUAAUCAUGUGGAAGAAUAAGAAAUGUUAGGAUAUGAGAUAGAUGGUCUUCACGGGCAAAAUAUCAGGGAGGUACCAAAUUAACUAGCGGGGGAGUGUAAAUUUGGAUAAAGUUUGAGUACUAAGACGAGGUUGCCAGUCGUAGAAUUGGUUUGUUUAUUUCCUGCUGUCCUUACCAUUUGCUUAGUACUUAGAAAGUGUAGUUUUGUUGUCUCUGUUGAGUUUUGAGGCAGAAGCUGAAUUUCUGACACAAUUUUUUUUUUCUUUCUAUUCUGUUGCUCUCCCAUCCCUCCUGUAGCUGGCAGCCUGGUAUCAUAUUGUUUAUCUGUUUUCUUACUUUAACUUUGAGCAUCUAUUACCAUUUGGAAUUGCUGAGAAAUUAUUUUUUUUGGAAUUAGUCUAGCAUUAUACUGUUUGAUAGAUAUAAUGUUUAAAUACCAUUGGCCUGGUUAAAUGUGUAUUGUUGAAGAGACCGCAGGGGCAUAUGUUGCAAAACUCCAUAUCAAGAAACAUAAUGGUACUGUUUCAAAAUGAGAAAAUAGAAUGGGUAUUUAAACCCUUUUUCUGGUUAACAAAGAAAUGAAUUUAUACUCCGUACUUGCUAAUUCUUAUGACUUGUAAAGGUGUUUUUGGUUAUGACCCCUAGGGCCUACACCCAUUCGAUCUCCUCUCCUAUUCCACAUUUCCACCACCAUCAACACCCCCCCUAUGGCGUCUCUCCUCAAGCUGCCCAGGCCACCACCUUUUUCUGUGCUCUCUUGAUAUGAUACUUUCUGUCUUUGUCAUUUUCUUAUAACCACUGCUAGGUUUGCCUGAAUCCUAGUAAUGACAUUGCCAAAGUCUUUUUAUCAUCAGUGGUGGGUUUUCUGUUCUAUACUUGAAUGUCAAGUGCUAGUGAUUAGGGUGGUGGUGUUACUGGUUGUUUUUCUCCCUUUCUGUUCUGAUUUCUGACACUUGUGAUGAGCUUCUGAAGAUGAUUUCUUUUAGAUCUACCAGCAGGUGCAUUAGAUUGUCUUUGCAGUCAAGUAUGUCCAUGGGGAGAUAGGUUAUAUGUUUUAGAUUAUAUGACAGUAGUUUUGGUUGCAUGGGCUGAUAGCUGUGACUGGAAGAGAUGUUAAGGUGAGCUCUGGAAAGAAGCAGGGAGGGCAGUGGACUCUAUUGUUUUAGAAAUAGGGCUUUAUGUUUUGUGUGACCCAAAAGAAAAUAGAAUAUGUUUUAUGCCAUUAGCACUUUUCAGUAGAAUAAGGUUAAGAAACUUGUGCACCUUUCAGUAGAAAAAGGUUUAAGGAACAAAUUCUCAGGUGUGGUUCACCUAGAGGUAGGUGUACCCAAGGUUUUCUUUUGCUCAUUUGAUCUUUUUUAGUUCAUUUGAAACUCUUCAAAUCAGAAAAAAGUUGGCAAAUCAGCAGAAUGUACCCUUGGAUACACAGUGUAGGUUUUCCAUUUUUUCCCACAUAUCACUCUAUGGCGUGUUCUUUUGCUUUGCCCUUUGAUGUCAGAAAGCAUGUACCCCUUUCGUAUACUUUUUCCUUUCUUUACUUGGAACUUCAAAUCCCGCGAACUAAUGGAGAAUUGUAAAUUUGUAAUCCAUGUUACUUAGCGUAAAACAUUCCGUCUUUUCUAGUGUGAUUAUUCACGCAGAGGAGGUUAUUGCUUCUCCCUUUUGCAUAUUUUCAUAUACGUUUUCCUUUCCUUUCUUAGAACUUUGAAGCCAGUGAAGUGUGAACUAGUAGUGGAGAUUGAUAAUCCAUGUGACUUUACCUUAAACAUUCCUUGUUUAUCCCGUGUGAUUAUUCACAUGGAUAUAAUAUAGCUUAUACUUAUUAGUACUGGAAUCUGUAUAACCUAUAGUAAACUCUUCACUCUGCUAGUUGUUAGUUAAGUAUCUGUAUGACCCUAUUGCCUCUUUAUCAGAGAAUUUCAUAUUGUUGGAUUCAUGUUGUCAUUGUCUUUUAAAGGUUUGCUGGCUCUAUGUUUGUGGUUCUAUGAAUGAAAAGCCGAUUUACCGGUUGAUAGAAAGAUGGUUGUCAUAUGUGAAAUAAUGCUGCUGAACUAUUUCUUUCAACUACCCCCUUGUUGACCUAAUGUUAACUUAAUAUGCAUGCUAACUUAUUCUGAAUGGAAUUUACUCAUUUAGUGAUGUGUGGGUACAAUUACUAUUAUUUCAGGCUUGUGCUGAACCUUCACCCAGGGUUUUAUUGUUGAUAGAAGAAGGUCUUCCCGAUGCUGUUGCCAUAAGAUGCCUUGCUCAUGUACCAUUUAACCUUCACCCCAAGUUAGAGGUUGUAAGCCGUACAUGGAGAGAUGCCGUGAGCCUUUUAAGGCCAGGGAAGAGGUAGGCUCAACCGAGGAGUUUUUAUGUGUAUGUGCUUUUGAUCCAGAUAAUCUAUGGCAGCUUUAUGAUCCCCUCCACGACAUUUGGAUUACACUCCCCGUUUUCCCGUCAAAGAUCAGGCAUCUUGCUCACUUUGGGGUGGUCUCCACCGGUGGGAAGCUAUACUAUACGUCCUUGGUGGCGGUCUCCACCAGGACGGGAGCUUCGCAACCAAUAAAGUAUGGUCUUGACCCAUGGUCUUAUUUAUAAACAGGAAGCUGAUAAAAGAAAGGUGGUUGUUUCAGCAUCAGAGGUAAGAAAGAGAAUUGGGUCUGCAUUGAUUGAUGUGGGAGGUGAGAUAUAUCAUAUAUGUGGUUGGAGGUGUGAUUGGUCCGGACCGGUCAAACCGGGAUAUUAAGCCGACUUCUGAUGUUGAUGUUCUGACAGUAGGAAGUGAGAGACUGAACUGGCGCAGGGUCGCUCCUAUAUCCAGGUGCCGUGGAACCAUACUUGAGGUGUACACAGUUGAGAAUUUAGGGUUCUUUGUAAGAAUCUUUAUGUUUUGUUGUAAGAAUGGUGCCUUUAUUUGAGAUUUGGUGCCUCUGAAUUGUGUUGUAACUGGUUUCUUUUCGCUUGAUCUUGAAUUGCACGUUUAUAGGCAAUAGAUCACUGUGGAAUGUAAACUUGUAAAGUUUCCUUUAGAAGAAUUAUUCUUUGAGCAAUUGAAGGACUACAAUUUGUUUUUAAGAUGUUGGAAUUAAGUUUGAGGAUCAUUUUCUUUUUUAAGCAUCA
Molecule: long non-coding RNA, 4130 nt
Organism: Spinacia oleracea (spinach)
Lineage: Eukaryota; Viridiplantae; Streptophyta; Magnoliopsida; Caryophyllales; Amaranthaceae
Exons: 3
Source: RefSeq, a predicted model, not a curated record